This 129-nucleotide small nuclear RNA is filed under the name Eptatretus burgeri (inshore hagfish). RNAcentral's name for it is "U1 spliceosomal RNA (ENSEBUG00000000273.1)". It matches the Rfam family "U1 spliceosomal RNA", at positions 1 to 117 of the family's 166-position model. Rfam says of the family: U1 is a small nuclear RNA (snRNA) component of the spliceosome (involved in pre-mRNA splicing). Its 5' end forms complementary base pairs with the 5' splice junction, thus defining the 5' donor site of an intron. Lineage: Eukaryota; Metazoa; Chordata; Myxini; Myxiniformes; Myxinidae. The record is from RNAcentral.
AUACUUACCUGAUGGGAGAGAUACUGUGAUCACGAAGGCGGUGCUCUCAGGGUGAUGUCUGGCCAUUGCACUUCGGGCAGGUUGACCCCUGCGAUUUCCCCAAAUGUUAUUGUCAGGUCGUGCGAGAUC